This 1133-nucleotide long non-coding RNA is filed under the name Heterocephalus glaber (naked mole-rat). Its description in RNAcentral is "lncRNA (ENSHGLG00000035510.1)". The record is from RNAcentral. Lineage: Eukaryota; Metazoa; Chordata; Mammalia; Rodentia; Bathyergidae.
CUGCCUGCCUCCUCCCUCAUGUCCCCAUCACCACAGGGGUUCAUCAGUCCUGGACAGGCCCAGGCCUGGCCCCUCCUGCUUUUCUCCAGCAGGAGGCAGGGCUGCAGCCCAUAGCCUCACUUCUGAGUAAGGCCUGACUCUGAAAUAUUGCACAAAGAGGUCCUGACCCUGGAGAGUGAAUUGAUUUCGGACCGAAAGGGGUCAAGAGGCAGAUUAGGGACUGCUUGGUGAUCCUGUUCAGGGCUUGUGCAGUGCACAACAGAAGAGACCUGUUCAGUUCAUGGCUGCCAGGAAGAAGGAGAAAGAGAAGGAGGAGGAGGAAGAGGAGGAGGAGGAGGAGGAGAUGAAGAAGAAGAAGAAGAGGAAAAAGAAGAGGAGGAGGAGGAAGAGGAGGAGAUGAAGGAGAGAAGGAGAUGAAGGAGAAGGAGGAGAAGGAGAAGAAGGAGAGCACAGGAAUGACCAAAGGAGAGAAAAAAAAGUCCUGGACUUCUGCAGCUGAUGCCCCAAGAUAGGAGUCAAAACAUAAAAGGGAUGUUUAAGAGGGAUGGCAUAGCUGGUGCAGGUGGAGGGAGUGUGCCCCGGGAGGGGGCAGCACCAUGUGCAAAGGCCGGCCGGGAGACAGGACCCAGAGGAAAGAGGCUCUGGGAAGUAGAGCACUGCCUCAGAGGAGAGAGGGCACUGGGCCACAUGGUGAGGCGUGCUAGCCACAGUGUGGAGCUUGGAUUUAUUUAAUUUUUUGUGGUUCUGGGAUUCAAAAUCGGGGCCUUGCACAUGAUAGGCAAGCACACUAUCACUGAGCUACACCCCCGUCUUUUUUUAUUUCCUUUUGAGACAGAGUCUUACUAAGUUGCCCAAGGUAAGUUCAAAUUUGUGAUCUUACCGCCUCAGCCUCCCUAGUAGCUGGGAUUAUAGGCAUGCACCGCCUCAUCUGGCCCUGGAUUUUAUUUUUUGUGCCAUGGGGAGAAGUUGACAAGUUUUAAGCGGAGAUAUAAUGGUCUAGCUCAGUGAUGGUGAACCUUUUAGAGGCUUCAAUAAUACAAACAGCCCACUGCUGCACAUAUGUCAUAAGUUCACCACCCCUGGUCUAUUUGGUUUGGUUUGGUUGUUUUAAUUGAGUUAGCAUUUACAUAAAA